GACGAACGCUGGCGGCGUGCUUAACACAUGCAAGUCGAACGGUGAAGGGAUCAGCUUGCUGGUUCUGGAUGAGUGGCGAACGGGUGAGUAACACGUGAGUAACCUGCCCCCUUCUUCUGGAUAACCGCAUGAAAGUGUGGCUAAUACGGGAUAUUCUGGGUCUGUCGCAUGAUGGGUCUGGGAAAGAUAUUGUUUCGGUGGGGGAUGGGCUCGCGGCCUAUCAGCUUGUUGGUGGGGUGAUGGCCUACCAAGGCGGUGACGGGUAGCCGGCCUGAGAGGGUGGACGGUCACACUGGGACUGAGACACGGCCCAGACUCCUACGGGAGGCAGCAGUGGGGAAUAUUGCACAAUGGGCGCAAGCCUGAUGCAGCGACGCCGCGUGAGGGAUGGAGGCCUUCGGGUUGUAAGCCUCUUUCGCCAGUGAAGCAGGCCUGCUCCUUGUGGGUGGGUUGACGGUAGCUGGAUAAGAAGCGCCGGCUAACUACGUG
This 489-nucleotide ribosomal RNA is filed under the name uncultured bacterium. RNAcentral describes it as "partial 16S ribosomal RNA". It matches the Rfam family "Bacterial small subunit ribosomal RNA", at positions 28 to 507 of the family's 1533-position model. The record is from RNAcentral.